CUAGUGGCGGACGGGUGAGGAACACGUAAGAACCUACCCCUAGGAGGGGGACAACAACUGGAAACGGUUGCUAAUACCCCAUAUGCUGAGGAGCGAAACGGUGAAAACCGCCUAGGGACGGGCUUGCGUCUGAUUAGCUUGUUGGUGAGGUAAAUGCUUACCAAGGCAAUGAUCAGUAGCUGGUCUGAGAGGAUGAUCAGCCACACUGGGACUGAGACACGGCCCAGACUCCUACGGGAGGCAGCAGUGAGGAAUUUUCCGCAAUGGGCGAAAGCCUGACGGAGCAAUGCCGCGUGGAGGAUGAAAGCCUGUGGGUCGUAAACUCCUUUUCUCAGAGAAGAAGAUCUGACGGUAUCUGAGGAAUAAGCAUCGGCUAACUCCGUGCCAGCAGCCGCGGUAAUACGGAGGAUGCAAGCGUUAUCCGGAAUGAUUGGGCGUAAAGCGUCUGUAGGUGGUUUCAUAAGUCCACUGUCAAAGAUCAGGGCUUAACCCUGGGCAGGCAGUGGAAACUAUGAGGCUUGAGUACGGUAGGGGCAGAGGGAAUUCCCGGUGUAGCGGUGAAAUGCGUAGAGAUCGGGAAGAACACCAAUGGCGAAAGCACUCUGCUGGGCCGAAACUGACACUGAGAGACGAAAGCUAGGGGAGCAAAUGGGAUUAGAUACCCCAGUAGUCCUAGCCGUAAACGAUGGAUACUAAGUGCUGUCCGAUUCAAACCGUCCAGUACUGUAGCUAACGCGUGAAGUAUCCCGCCUGGGGAGUAUGCUCGCAAGAGUGAAACUCANAGGAAUUGACGGGGGCCCGCACAAGCGGUGGAGCAUGU
This 820-nucleotide ribosomal RNA is filed under the name uncultured organism. RNAcentral describes it as "bacterial SSU rRNA". It matches the Rfam family "Bacterial small subunit ribosomal RNA", at positions 92 to 942 of the family's 1533-position model. The record is from RNAcentral.